CCUACGGGAGGCAGCAGUGAGGAAUAUUGGUCAAUGGACGAGAGUCUGAACCAGCCAAGUAGCGUGAAGGAUGACUGCCCUAUGGGUUGUAAACUUCUUUUAUAUGGGAAUAAAACGUUCCACGUGUGGGAUUUUGUAUGUACCAUAUGAAUAAGGAUCGGCUAACUCCGUGCCAGCAGCCGCGGUAAUACGGAGGAUCCGAGCGUUAUCCGAAUUUAUUGGGUUUAAAGGGAGCGUAGGUGGAUUGUUAAGUCAGUUGUGAAAGUUUGCGGCUCAACCGUAAAAUUGCAGUUGAAACUGGCAGUCUUGAGUACAGUAGAGGUGGGCGGAAUUCGUGGUGUAGCGGUGAAAUGCUUAGAUAUCACGAAGAACUCCGAUUGCGAAGGCAGUUCACUGGACUGCAACUGACACUGAGGCUCGAAAGUGUGGGUAUCAAACAGGAUUAGAUACCCUUGUAGUC
Molecule: ribosomal RNA, 460 nt
Filed under: uncultured bacterium
Lineage: Bacteria
Description: partial 16S ribosomal RNA
Rfam family: Bacterial small subunit ribosomal RNA
Source: RNAcentral